CCGCUGAACUUAAGCAUAUCAAUAAGCGGAGGAA
RNAcentral lists this ribosomal RNA (34 nucleotides) under Epicoccum nigrum. RNAcentral describes it as "partial 28S ribosomal RNA". The record is from RNAcentral. Lineage: Eukaryota; Fungi; Ascomycota; Dothideomycetes; Pleosporales; Didymellaceae.